GACGAACGCUGGCGGCGUGCUUAACACAUGCAAGUCGAGCGGUAAGGCCCUUUCGGGGGUACGACGAGCGGCGAACGGGUGAGUAACACGUGGGUGACCUGCCCUUAGCUCUGGGAUAAGCCUGGGAAACGUGGGUCUAAUACCGGAUAUGACUCCAUGACGCAUGUUGUGGGGUGGAAAGCCUUGUGCGGCUAGGGAUGGGCCUGCGGCCUAUCAGCUUGUUGGUGGGGUGAGGCCUACCAAGGCGACGACGGGUAGCCGGCCUGAGAGGGCGACCGGCCACACUGGGACUGAGACACGGCCCAGACUCCUACGGGAGGCAGCAGUGGGGAAUCUUGCGCAAUGGGCGAAAGCCUGACGCAGCGACGCCGCGUGGGGAUGACGGCCU
RNAcentral lists this ribosomal RNA (388 nucleotides) under uncultured bacterium. RNAcentral's name for it is "bacterial SSU rRNA". It matches the Rfam family "Bacterial small subunit ribosomal RNA", at positions 28 to 417 of the family's 1533-position model. The record is from RNAcentral.